Molecule: long non-coding RNA, 1644 nt
Filed under: Eucalyptus grandis
Lineage: Eukaryota; Viridiplantae; Streptophyta; Magnoliopsida; Myrtales; Myrtaceae
Description: long non-coding RNA (EGRA_LNC003788)
Source: RNAcentral
CAGCUUGCAAGUCUUGGUCUUGCGAUCAAACAGACUUUGUGGCCCUAUAAGCAGCCCCGGAACAGAAUUUUCCUUUUCAAGGUUGCGCAUUCUCGACCUUUCCUUCAAUGAUUUCACGGGUCCUUUGCCUAGUGCCUUCUUUGCAAACCUGAAAGCAAUGAUAUCAAAUGAUCAGAAUGGAUCAGAGCGGCGAUACAUGGACCAAGGUUACUACCAGGAUUCCAUGAUUGCAACGAUGAGAGGACGGGACAUGCCGAUUGCUAGAAUCCUAGUGAUCUUGACGACCAUUGAUCUAUCAAGCAACAAGUUCCGGGGAAAAAUUCCUGAUGUGAUGGGAGAGUUAAGAUUACUCAAGGGGCUUAACCUCUCUCACAACAGUCUUGAAGGCCACAUCCCUUUGCCUCUUGGGAACCUUUCCGAGCUUGAAUGGUUGGAUCUCUCUUCAAAUGAACUUAGCGGAAUGAUACCAAUCGAAUUGACAAAUCUCACGUCUCUAGAGGUCCUAAAUGUCUCUUCCAAUCAACUAACAGGAUCGAUUCCUCAAGGACACCAAUUCAACACGUUUCAAGCCGGAUCCUAUCGUGGAAACCCAGGAUUGUGCGGAUUUCCACUGCCCAAAGCUUGUACUAAUUACAAGGCUCCGUGGAAACUCCCCGUGCAUCCUGAAGGCAGGGUCCAUUCAUUCCGCGUGGAUUUUCUUGAACCAAGGGUUGUGGAAAUAGGAAUAGGAUGCAGCAUCUUGCUCGGAUUAUUCAUGAGAAUUUUGAAAAACCUUAUCUCUAUCCGGCAGGCAAACAGGAAUUUUAGGAAGAUUGCGAGGAAAGACAUUUCUCCGAUCGGGCCUUGAAACUGUACACCAGAUGAAAGCUGGGGUUGCUGAUUUGUGAAUCCGUACAGCUGGGGUGUCAAAAUACCCGAACCGAAAAUUUCGGGUCUUAUUCGGUUCGGCAGACAAUUUAAAAUAAGGGGUACACCCGAACCGAAAAGGUACAGUUAUCUUCCUCCCUCGGUACCUCUAUCUCCUCCCUCACCCCUACCGCUAACAUCCCUUCACCGUCACUAGCAGGUCUGCCUCCGUUGCCCUCUCCGCCACCAUCCAAAGGACCUCCAUCGGCGGCGCCUCCUCUAGAUUGACCCGAAGUGCUCCCCACCGACUCUGCCGGAGCCGUCGUGAAUGGUGGUUUUAGCUUUUUUGGCAGUCCAGCUCCGGAUUCGUCCAUGGACGCCGAGAUCUUGAUGUGCUCGACUGUGUUUCUUUCCUCCGUAAAUCUCGAUUCAUGGAUCCGCGGGUCUGUCUCACUGUUUUCAAGUUCUGUAAAUAGCGAAAGUUCAAGGACUCACCUUCCCUGGAUUGGCUUCUCUUUGUCUCCUCCCAUAGGGGUUUCAAGCGUGUCCGGUCAAUCUCUCUCUCUCCCCCGCAUUUGUUAAAUGUAUCAAAUGUUUGACUCACAUCAAGAAUCUGAACUGGGAAUUUUUCACUUUCCUGUUUUGCUAUGAGCCCUUUGCUGCAUCUGGAGGGGCGAAGGGAAAGGCACGCCAAAACAAAACCAAAAACGACCACAUCAAUUUCGGGCCAGACGGGGUUUAGGUUGGGAUUUGGGUCUCAGCGAACACUUAUCUAAAGGUUUCGGUUUGGGUAUCACA